This 497-nucleotide ribosomal RNA is filed under the name uncultured bacterium. RNAcentral describes it as "partial 16S ribosomal RNA". It matches the Rfam family "Bacterial small subunit ribosomal RNA", at positions 28 to 507 of the family's 1533-position model. The record is from RNAcentral.
GAUGAACGCUGGCGGCGUGCCUAAUACAUGCCAGUCGAGCGAACAGACGAGGAGCUUGCUCCUCUGACGUUAGCGGCGGACGGGUGAGUAACACGUGGAUAACCUACCUAUAAGACUGGGAUAACUUCGGGAAACCGGAGCUAAUACCGGAUAAUAUAUUGAACCGCAUGGUUCAAUAGUGAAAGACGGUUUUGCUGUCACUUAUAGAUGGAUCCGCGCCGCAUUAGCUAGUUGGUAAGGUAACGGCUUACCAAGGCAACGAUGCGUAGCCGACCUGAGAGGGGGAGAGGCAACACGGGAACGGAGACGCGGCCAAGACCACGAGGGGGGGAAGAGGUGGGAAAUCUUCAGAAAGGGGCAAAGGCGUGAAGGAGAAACGCGGGGGGAGUAAGAAGGGUCUUGGAAUAUAAAAACUUUGUUAUGGGGGAAAAAAAAAUGUGAAAGAAAAAAGGCGCGUUUGGACGGUACAAAAUAAAAAACACACGGAAAACUACGCG